Molecule: transfer RNA, 85 nt
Filed under: Felis catus (domestic cat)
Lineage: Eukaryota; Metazoa; Chordata; Mammalia; Carnivora; Felidae
Rfam family: tRNA
About the family: Transfer RNA (tRNA) molecules are approximately 80 nucleotides in length. Their secondary structure includes four short double-helical elements and three loops (D, anti-codon, and T loops).
Source: Rfam by way of RNAcentral
ACCUGGAUGGCUCAGUAGGUUGAGCAUCCGACUUCGGCUCAAGUAAUGAUUUCGUGGUUCGUGGGUUCGAGCCCUGCUUCGGGCU